RNAcentral lists this ribosomal RNA (369 nucleotides) under uncultured organism. RNAcentral describes it as "bacterial SSU rRNA". It matches the Rfam family "Bacterial small subunit ribosomal RNA", at positions 526 to 896 of the family's 1533-position model. The record is from RNAcentral.
CGUAGGGUGCAAGCGUUAAUCGGAAUUACUGGGCGUAAAGCGUGCGCAGGCGGUUAUGUAAGACAGUUGUGAAAUCCCGGGCUCAACCUGGGAACUGCAUCUGUGACUGCAUAGCUAGAGUACGGUAGAGGGGGAUGGAAUUCCGCGUGUAGCAGUGAAAUGCGUAGAUAUGCGGAGGAACACCGAUGGCGAAGGCAAUCCCCUGGACCUGUACUGACGCUCAUGCACGAAAGCGUGGGGAGCAAACAGGAUUAGAUACCCUGGUAGUCCACGCCCUAAACGAUGUCAACUGGUUGUUGGGUCUUCACUGACUCAGUAACGAAGCUAACGCGUGAAGUUGACCGCCUGGGGAGUACGGCCGCAAGGUUG